RNAcentral lists this long non-coding RNA (678 nucleotides) under Gallus gallus (chicken). Its description in RNAcentral is "lncRNA (ENSGALG00010004854.1)". Lineage: Eukaryota; Metazoa; Chordata; Aves; Galliformes; Phasianidae. The record is from RNAcentral.
AAGGACUGGAGCCAGGAUCCACCCCUUCUCAGAUCUCAUUUAAGGGCUGGCAGCCCAGGUAGGUGUAUUUUGCUGGAGAUCUUUGUGUGCCUGAGGCCUUCUGAAGAGUGGGUAAAGAGGGCGUUCUGCAUCACAGUCUUGUGCUGUUGCUUCGUAAGAGAGCCAGGAGUAAUACCCUAGCACAGCACAAAAUGGAAGUGGGAAGACGGGAUAAGUUGAAGAUGGGACUAACAUACACAGAUGUUUGAAUGGACUUUAUUCUUCAUUAAAAUACAACUGCUGGUGGGAUUAAGGAAGGAGUAUGUCACCACUGAGAUUAUGAAGCAACUGAAGCAUGGACUCACUCAGCUGCAUACUCCCUGUGUACUUUGGCCAUGUCAUGCAGAGCUCUGGCUGCCAAAGGACUUCAGCAGCUUUCAAACACGUGUUCAGCUACUGCACUUGUUUGAUGUUUUUGUUUUUACCAGGAAAACUGUCUCACUGACUGUGUUAAUCCUUUUCUAGUAUGUGCAUAAAGACAUCUGCGCAUAGUCCACCAGUCCCCUAACUGAUUCUAUAUGCUGUGGUGUGAGGAGAGGUAUGCACAGACUGAACUGGCCUCUGUACAGAAUGAAGUAGCAGUGAUUUGCCUGUUGUGCAACUUCUACUUGUCAAAAUAAUUCCAUGGUACAAUAUUUG